CCUACGGGUGGCAGCAGUGAGGAAUAUUGGUCAAUGGUCGCGAGCCUGAACCAGCCAAGUAGCGUGAGGGAUGACGGCCCUGCGUGUUGUAAACCUCUUUUAUAAGGGAACAAAGACAGGCACGCGUGCCUGUUUGUGUGUACUUGAUGAAUAAGCAUCGGCUAACUCCGUGCCAGCAGCCGCGGUAAUACGGAGGAUCCGAGCGUUAUCCGGAUUUAUUGGGUUUAAAGGGUGCGGAGGUGGGUUGUUAAGUCAGUGGUGAAAGUUUGGGGCUCAACCGUAGAACUGCCAUUGAGAUUGGCAGCCUUGAGUAGAGGUGAGGUAGGCGGAAUGCGUGGUGUAGCGGUGAAAUGCUUAGAUAUCACGAAGAACUCCGAUUGCGAAGGCAGCUUACUAGCCUCACACUGACAUUGAUGCACGAAAGUGUGGGUAUCGAACAGGAUUAGAUACCCGAGUAGUC
Molecule: ribosomal RNA, 460 nt
Filed under: uncultured bacterium
Lineage: Bacteria
Description: partial 16S ribosomal RNA
Rfam family: Bacterial small subunit ribosomal RNA
Source: RNAcentral